Molecule: transfer RNA, 74 nt
Filed under: Streptomyces sp. ISL-21
Lineage: Bacteria; Bacillati; Actinomycetota; Actinomycetes; Kitasatosporales; Streptomycetaceae
Also listed under: 9 other names
Description: tRNA-Trp
Rfam family: tRNA
About the family: Transfer RNA (tRNA) molecules are approximately 80 nucleotides in length.
Source: RNAcentral
AGGGGUGUAGCUCAGCUGGUCAGAGCGCUGGUCUCCAAAACCAGAUGUCGUAGGUUCGAAUCCUGCCACCCCUG